This 74-nucleotide transfer RNA is filed under the name Wolfiporia cocos MD-104 SS10. RNAcentral's name for it is "tRNA-Met (CAT) (tRNA-Met-CAT-2-1)". It matches the Rfam family "tRNA". Rfam says of the family: Transfer RNA (tRNA) molecules are approximately 80 nucleotides in length. The record is from RNAcentral. Lineage: Eukaryota; Fungi; Basidiomycota; Agaricomycetes; Polyporales; Phaeolaceae.
GCCUCGAUGGCUCAGUUGGUUAGAGCGCAGGUCUCAUAAUCCUGAGGUCGCAAGUUCGAUCCUUGCUCGGGGCA